GCCGCGGUAAUUCCAGCUCCAAUAGCGUAUAUUAACGUUGUUGCAGUUAAAAAGCUCGUAGUUGAAGUGAGGGAGUGUGUGGGUAUGAGAGCUAGUCUCGAGUGUUCACAACCUCCCCCCUCCAAUCGGUGUAGUGGGGUAUUCAGUUAUUUCACUACUCCUUUGGUCGUUUACUGUGAGAAAAUUAGAGUGUUCAAAGCGGGCGUUUGUUUGAAUAGAUUAGCAUGGAAUAAUGAUUGAAGGCUUUCGUGUUCGAUUUGAUUGGUUUGUUCAUGGAAGCAAGGUUAAAAGGAACAGUUGGGGGUAUUCAUAUUCACUAGUUAGAGGUGAAAUUCUCGGAUUUAUGGAAGAUGAACAGGUGCGAAAGCAUUUACCAAGGAUGUUUUCAUUAAUCAAGAGCGAAAG
This 405-nucleotide ribosomal RNA is filed under the name Blastocystis sp. RNAcentral's name for it is "SSU rRNA". It matches the Rfam family "Eukaryotic small subunit ribosomal RNA", at positions 573 to 989 of the family's 1831-position model. The record is from RNAcentral. Lineage: Eukaryota; Bigyra; Opalinata; Blastocystidae.